GACGAACGCUGGCGGCGUGCUUAACACAUGCAAGUCGAACGGAAAGGCCCUGCUUUUGUGGGGUGCUCGAGUGGCGAACGGGUGAGUAACACGUGAGUAACCUGCCCUUGACUUUGGGAUAACUUCAGGAAACUGGGGCUAAUACCGGAUAGGAGCUCCUGCUGCAUGGUGGGGGUUGGAAAGUUUCGGCGGUUGGGGAUGGACUCGCGGCUUAUCAGCUUGUUGGUGGGGUAGUGGCUUACCAAGGCUUUGACGGGUAGCCGGCCUGAGAGGGUGACCGGCCACAUUGGGACUGAGAUACGGCCCAGACUCCUACGGGAGGCAGCAGGGGGGAGUAUUGCACAAUGAGCGGGAGCCUGAUGCAGAAACGCCGCGUGCGGGAUGAAGGCCUUCGGGUUGUAAACCGCUUUCGCCUGUGACGAAGCGUGAGUGACGGUAAUGGGUAAAGAAGCACCGGCUAACUACGUG
RNAcentral lists this ribosomal RNA (468 nucleotides) under uncultured bacterium. RNAcentral describes it as "partial 16S ribosomal RNA". It matches the Rfam family "Bacterial small subunit ribosomal RNA", at positions 28 to 507 of the family's 1533-position model. The record is from RNAcentral.